This 848-nucleotide small RNA is filed under the name Arabidopsis thaliana (thale cress). RNAcentral's name for it is "ATSL123170". The record is from RNAcentral. Lineage: Eukaryota; Viridiplantae; Streptophyta; Magnoliopsida; Brassicales; Brassicaceae.
UUCUAACGUGUUUGAUUUGCAGUUUCAAAUGUAACAAUUAAAGCCACACACGUUACAACAUAAUCGAUAUGUAUAGCAUAGCGAAAACUGCAAGAAUAUCAGAAGUAGCAACGAAACUGAUUAUUUGAUUAGACAGUGAAAGGUAUCAAUAAUGAACAUAAGAUAAUUUUUCCUAUUAAUAAUGAAAUUACAACAACAGAAGACUACACUAAAAGGUACAAAUACAAUGAUCCGAGAAAAUUACAAGUGCAAAAGUGAUGAACGCUCUUUAAUGUGCUUCACAAUGCUCUUUCAACAUAGUUUGCUAAAAACUUCACUUUCGACAUAUAUCCUCAAACAUCAAUGAUGUCUUUUGUAAUUUCUUCAUCACACAACCAUAUACCUAGUUUUCUUUUUGCAUAUCCAUGAAUAUGUUUAGUAUUACAAAAGAUAUAAAAUGAAUCUUAUAUGUUUACUAAAACAAAGAUUAUCAAGAUCCAUCUUACUCUUUUGCAUAUACUCGAAUACCUAUAUGGGAUUAAAGACCUAUGUUUCUACCAUCCGAUCAACAAGAGUUACAACUUUUUUUACGGGGAUAAGACUGAAACAUAUAUGUAUAUCCCAUUUCUACCAUCUGGAAUACUUGAACUACCAUCUAAAUCUAUUGAACAUCGUGUUUCAAAAUACACAAGUUCAAACUAUAAUCAAGUGAAUAGUUUAAGUAUCAUCAUUCGCUUGGAGAGAAAAAUCACAAAACCAUGUCGUUUCAACUCGUAAACCGCCGUAUUUAUUCUAGUGAAACCAAAAAACAGAGAGGAGGAGCCGUGACUGACACAUGCUUGGUAACAAAUCCAUUGUAUCAUCCAAGA